This 771-nucleotide ribosomal RNA is filed under the name Vibrio parahaemolyticus. RNAcentral describes it as "bacterial SSU rRNA". It matches the Rfam family "Bacterial small subunit ribosomal RNA", at positions 1 to 751 of the family's 1533-position model. The record is from RNAcentral. Lineage: Bacteria; Pseudomonadati; Pseudomonadota; Gammaproteobacteria; Vibrionales; Vibrionaceae.
AAAUUGAAGAGUUUGAUCAUGGCUCAGAUUGAACGCUGGCGGCAGGCCUAACACAUGCAAGUCGAGCGGAAACGAGUUAUCUGAACCUUCGGGGAACGAUAGCGGCGUCGAGCGGCGGACGGGUGAGUAAUGCCUAGGAAAUUGCCCUGAUGUGGGGGAUAACCAUUGGAAACGAUGGCUAAUACCGCAUGAUGCCUACGGGCCAAAGAGGGGGACCUUCGGGCCUCUCGCGUCAGGAUAUGCCUAGGUGGGAUUAGCUAGUUGGUGAGGUAAGGGCUCACCAAGGCGACGAUCCCUAGCUGGUCUGAGAGGAUGAUCAGCCACACUGGAACUGAGACACGGUCCAGACUCCUACGGGAGGCAGCAGUGGGGAAUAUUGCACAAUGGGCGCAAGCCUGAUGCAGCCAUGCCGCGUGUGUGAAGAAGGCCUUCGGGUUGUAAAGCACUUUCAGUCGUGAGGAAGGCGGUGUAGUUAAUAGCUGCAUCGUUUGACGUUAGCGACAGAAGAAGCACCGGCUAACUCCGUGCCAGCAGCCGCGGUAAUACGGAGGGUGCGAGCGUUAAUCGGAAUUACUGGGCGUAAAGCGCAUGCAGGUGGUUUGUUAAGUCAGAUGUGAAAGCCCGGGGCUCAACCUCGGAAUUGCAUUUGAAACUGGCAGACUAGAGUACUGUAGAGGGGGGUAGAAUUUCAGGUGUAGCGGUGAAAUGCGUAGAGAUCUGAAGGAAUACCGGUGGCGAAGGCGGCCCCCUGGACAGAUACUGACACUCAGA